Molecule: long non-coding RNA, 892 nt
Organism: Gambusia affinis (western mosquitofish)
Lineage: Eukaryota; Metazoa; Chordata; Actinopteri; Cyprinodontiformes; Poeciliidae
Exons: 4
Source: RefSeq, a predicted model, not a curated record
GUGAUGCCAAGGGCCCCUUUCGCUCAUCUCUCCUAAAGGCCCACCCAUUGGUGCCCCGGGGCGGAGGAGUCGGAGGCAGAAGGUAUCUGGACGAUGUCAGCGUUUUGACACAGCCUCAACGCGUGCCGUGCUGACAGAAUCGAGCUUUGUGCGAUAAGACGAGCGGGCUGCUGAACCGGUCCCGCCCAGCUCCGCCGACACCUGCUGCAGCACCGACACAGGCACCAAAUCAGAGAGCGUUUAGGAUGGAUGAGGAUCACCAGGGCCCCGCCGCCACUCCAAAGGACGAAGGUGACGGGAGGAGGGGUCUCGGUAUUCGGCGACCACGGCUGCUUCCUGACACAAAUGUGUCAUCGGGAGUCUUUCAGAUCGCAGUCAAACGCGCCUCGGGUGAUUCAUGGGAGGAAACGUGAUGAUGAGUCAUACGGGAGAAAUAUAACCAACCGCAAAGAAAUUCGCGGAAGAGGUUUGAAUUUGACACAGUGGUGUAAAAUAAAAAGGAUAAAAGAAAAAGACUGUUACACUUAAAAACUUGAAGUGAAGACAAUGUAACGUCUAUUAAAGUUUUAUUGCUCAUUGGCAACCAAGCAGGCACCAAAUGCAGUGAAGAAAACAGGAAAUAUCGAAGCACUUGGAGAUUCCUUAAAGCAAACAACCAUCCUGGCUGAUCGGCCAUGGCUUAGUGAGUGAUGGGACAUUGACCUCUGACCUGAGGAAGUCAUUUAGAUGAAGAGGCACUGAAGGUCUGAUUCAUGGUCAGAGAAUCAGCCCCAUCUCCAUGGAUCCAGGGAUGCCAGCAGUGAGGAUGGACAGGUAAUUGGGGAGGAGGGGUGGAGCCGCGGUUCUGAUCCCAAUCUGCCAAUUUUCUGUCUGACAGGCAGUCUGCUGCCAA